This 475-nucleotide ribosomal RNA is filed under the name Streptococcus sp. oral taxon 071. RNAcentral's name for it is "bacterial SSU rRNA". It matches the Rfam family "Bacterial small subunit ribosomal RNA", at positions 28 to 486 of the family's 1533-position model. Lineage: Bacteria; Bacillati; Bacillota; Bacilli; Lactobacillales; Streptococcaceae. The record is from RNAcentral.
GACGAACGCUGGCGGCGUGCCUAAUACAUGCAAGUAGAACGCUGAAGAGAGGAGCUUGCUCUUCUUGGAUGAGUUGCGAACGGGUGAGUAACGCGUAGGUAACCUGCCUGGUAGCGGGGGAUAACUAUUGGAAACGAUAGCUAAUACCGCAUGAAAUGGAUUAUCGCAUGAUAAUUCAUUGAAAGGUGCAAAUGCAUCACUACCAGAUGGACCUGCGUUGUAUUAGCUAGUUGGUGGGGUAACGGCUCACCAAGGCGACGAUACAUAGCCGACCUGAGAGGGUGAUCGGCCACACUGGGACUGAGACACGGCCCAGACUCCUACGGGAGGCAGCAGUAGGGAAUCUUCGGCAAUGGACGGAAGUCUGACCGAGCAACGCCGCGUGAGUGAAGAAGGUUUUCGGAUCGUAAAGCUCUGUUGUAAGAGAAGAACGAGUGUGAGAGUGGAAAGUUCACACUGUGACGGUAUCUACCAG